Molecule: long non-coding RNA, 1328 nt
Filed under: Ursus americanus (American black bear)
Lineage: Eukaryota; Metazoa; Chordata; Mammalia; Carnivora; Ursidae
Description: lncRNA (ENSUAMG00000006162.1)
Source: RNAcentral
CCUUUUUUUUCUUUUAAAGAUUUUAUUUUAUUUAUUUGACAGAGACAGGCAGCGAGAGAGGGAACACAAGCAGGGGGAGUGGGAGAGGAAGAAGCAGGCUUCCAGUGGAGGAGCCUGAUGUGGGGCUCGAUCCCAGAACUCAGGUAUCAUGCCCUGAGCCGAAGGCAGACGCUUAACGACUGCACCACCCAGGCGCCCCUCCCCAGGAUUUUUCUUGGCCAGUUCUCUUCCGUCUGGACUCGAAGUAUCAUCGCUGUCAUUCCUACAGCUAAUGACUCUGUGCUGGGUUUCCAGGAAAAGCUCUAGGAUGCUGGGAGAAGUUAAAGAGGAAAAUAAGAAACAAGCUAAUCCUGUGUUUCUACUCCCCAAGCCAGAUCAUCAGCCUCACAUUCUAGAAAUGGAAGCACUGAGGACUGGAUGAAGUUGCAGAGGGCAGAAUGGCCCUUCACCCAGUAGAAUUUCAGCCCCAGAAAACUAUCCGUCAUUGACUCUGUGGCUCCACGUCCACUUUCUGAAUCACUCCUAAACUUAUCUUGUGACCAGCUUUACUUCAGGGAAAUUCCGGGAAACAUGGCUCCAACUUGGCUAGGCUGAUACAGUGUGAAGCACCACAGAUAGUAAGUUUGGUUAGCAUCCUGGAAAAAGAAAAUCCUAGAGGAGAGAAAGAGAAAUUCUCAAUCAUAUCUCUCCACUAUAAAAGUAACUUUACCCUUUUGUAAUUAGCAAUCUGUGGGUAAUACUUUGCAAUGGUGGGACUGUCCCGACGCCCAACAUAGUUUACCCAGUGGUCUCAGGGUCUAUUGAUGAUCCCUGUCUGAAUCAAUUUUUGCAAAUUGCCUGAACUGACCCAAAUGUGUUCAGUGGGAGCCCCUUUAGGCCAGCCGCUGAGACCCUUUAACAUGAUUCUAGGUCUUUGUAUACUUCCUUACUUUGAGCAAAACAAGAGAUCCAAGGCUCAACUUGGUCUGGCCUCAGACCUGGGACCAGAUGUUUCUCCAAGGAACUCUGGUCUGUUUUAGUGGGGAAUGAUAUUUAGACACCAAGAUCUGGUUGCUAGGGGUGCUCAUUGCUAUUGGUAUAUUGUUGCACCUGGGCCUUUUCAAUGGAAGUAAUAGAAAAUAUAUUUUAAAAAACUGUGGGGUGCCUGGGUGGCUCAGUCAGUUAAGCAGCUGCCUUUGGCUCAGGUCAUGAUCCCAGGUUCCUGGGAUCAAGUCCUGCACUGGGCUCCUUGCUCAGCAGGGAGCUUGCUUCUCCCUCUGCCUGCUGUUUUCCCUACUUGUGCUCUCUCUCUCUGACAAAUAAAUAAGUAAAAUCUUAAAAAAAAAACA